This 295-nucleotide unclassified non-coding RNA is filed under the name Salix lucida. RNAcentral's name for it is "partial external transcribed spacer". The record is from RNAcentral. Lineage: Eukaryota; Viridiplantae; Streptophyta; Magnoliopsida; Malpighiales; Salicaceae.
CCUCUUUGCCUCGUUCCUCCCCGGGGGCGCGGGGCUAACCCGGCAGCGUGCCCGUGCUCCAGUUGAGCGGACUCUUGCUGAACUGGACCACGUGCGAUCGCUCGUGCUUUUGGAUGCAGAACGUGAAGCCGGUGGUGGGGCCUCCGCCCUUUCGACCGCCUUUUCGUGCCCCUCGUGCUCGAUAAGAUUGACUUCCUCGCCCGUCUUGGCCCAGCCGCUGGAAUUUUCAGCGACGGUGAUCGACGGGUCGUGGUGUCGCCAAGGAAUGCUACCUGGUUGAUCCUGCCAGUAGUCA